AUAAAAUAAAGAGAGAAAUAAGAAGAAAGAAAAGCGGUGACGAGCCUGAGAAUGGGAGCGAUUUAUACCGAUUCCCUCGAGCAAACCCUAAUUUUCUUUGAUGAAAUUGUAGAGGGACGUGAGGAAGAGAAUUUCGAGGGUUACCGGAGUGAUUGGAGCUGUGGAGGUUGAGGAAUUUGAAUGAAAAGUCGGGUUAAGUCUGAAUUUUGGACAGUCUGAACAGGCUUCAGUGUUUUGAAGUUCUCGAGCUGUAGACACGAAAUUUGAAGCUAGAAUUUUGAGGAAGACCGAGACUACACGGAAUUUCGGGCGAACAGAGAAACGUGACUUUUGGAGCUGAUUCGGUGUUAUUCAAGCGUUUUCAAAGCUUCAAAUUCUCAGUUUAUUUGGUUAAUAUGCUUAUUGGAAAGUUUAAGCAAGAAAUUUUAGGUUAUAUGGUUAGGGAUUGAUGAAUUUCAAGCUGGGAAAAGUUCUGAAACUUCUCGCCGGAAAACAGGGGUAUCAAGAAAUAUUUGACCGAUUCCAGAAGAUUUAGGGCGAUUCAAGACUCCAAAAUGUGAGGUAAGAUAGUUUAGAGGAUGGGUAAGAGGUUUAUAUAAAUUAAUUCGAGUGGGUAUGGCUCAAAUGAGCGAAUUUGGUCGCCGGAAGUCUCACCAGAAAACUGGCCGAAUUUGGAAGAAAAUGUGGGCUGGAGGUUGAAGAUGACUUCUGUCCGUCAUUAAAAGCUGAAAAAUCCAAAUUUAUGGUAAUUAAAGUGUUCUCAAACCUAAGUAGUGGCUGUUUGGUAUUCAUAUGAUAUUUUAAGCAUGGAAUUAGAGGAAAUUGGGAUCCUAGAUUAAUUUUGAAAAUGAUUAAGCGGUUAAUUGGUUAAGUAAAUCUAGAUUAGGGUUAAUGAGGAAAUUGAGUAAAACGUAGACUAAAUUAAGGUUUUAGAGAACGUUAAGUAAAGUUAGGAUAUUUUAGAAAUUAUUUAGAGAUUAAGAGAAUUAUGGUAAAAUGUUGAAUUUUGUAUGCAGUGUUUGGACUGGAUAAUCAUCUAGUGGAUAACCAUAAGUUAAUAAUGUGAUUUUCAAGCUAGGAGAGGCUUAUAAAUCCGAAGGAUCAAGCCCGAAAUUGUGAGUGACAAAUCCUAAGCGUUUUCUUAAGGUUUUAGUAACUCAUGCUUGCUUAAUUAUAAGAAUCUUCCAAGCAAACUAAGUUUGAAGAGCUAUUGUCGCAUGCUAGUUUAAAAUGAUGUUUAUAAAGCAUGUUUAAAUAUUUGUGUUUAUGUAUACAAAGCAUGCAUUAGAAAUUUAUAAAGAUGUGAAAGCUCUUGUUCAUGUUACUAUGCUUAUAAGUAUACAUGUUUCUAAAGGAAUAAGUUUUAUGAUGAGCAUGAUAAACCCGAUACUGAAGGACUCUGAGAAGGUAUCUGGGCCAUAGUACCUAAGGUAUGACGGUACUUAAUUAUUAUCACGUGCACGUAGGCAGAGUUGACGUUGGUACUGUUGAGAUUACUCCACACCAACUAAGGAUUGACGUUGAGGGAUUGAGCAAAAGGGUUCUCUCUCAACUAAGGAUACAAGUUAUGUUUUUUUAGAGAUACUAUGUUUUAAAAUGUUUUAAGUAUGAGUUUGCUUCGCCGUUUUCAGUUUCAAGCAUGAUGAAUAUGUUUUAUUAGUCACUCACUGGGCGAGUAACUCAUUCUUUCAAAUGUUUUUCUUUUCUCGGAUAGUGGUCAUCUCCCCAGAGGUUAGCUGUCAUGUUGCUCUGCCACUCAAGGACUCCAGUUAAAAGUCCAAAGUCUAAAGAGAAGUUUUAGGUGUUUAUUCUGUAAAUGACUGUACAUAUGUCUUGCUCAUAUUAGGGACUAGUAAAGUAUAUUGGGACCUACUGAACUCUGUAUGUGUUAAUAUGAUGCAGUUAUGUUGUCGUUGA
This is a long non-coding RNA of Benincasa hispida (wax gourd), 1917 nucleotides long. RefSeq lists it as uncharacterized. Lineage: Eukaryota; Viridiplantae; Streptophyta; Magnoliopsida; Cucurbitales; Cucurbitaceae. The record is from RefSeq and is a predicted model, not a curated record.